AGUGAACGCUGGCGGUAGGCCUAACACAUGCAAGUCGAACGGCAGCACAGUAAGAGCUUGCUCUUACGGGUGGCGAGUGGCGGACGGGUGAGGAAUACAUCGGAAUCUACUUUUUCGUGGGGGAUAACGUAGGGAAACUUACGCUAAUACCGCAUACGACCUACGGGUGAAAGCAGGGGAUCUUCGGACCUUGCGCGAUUGAAUGAGCCGAUGUCGGAUUAGCUAGUUGGCGGGGUAAAGGCCCACCAAGGCGACGAUCCGUAGCUGGUCUGAGAGGAUGAUCAGCCACACUGGAACUGAGACACGGUCCAGACUCCGACGGGAGGCAGCAGUGGGGAAUAUUGGACAAAGGGGGCAAGCCUGAUCCAGCCAUACCGCGUGGGUGAAGAAGGCCUUCGGGUUGUAAAGCCCUUUUGUUGGGAAAGAAAAGCAGCAGGUUAAUACCCCGCUGUUCUGACGGUACCCAAAGAAUAAGCACCGGCUAACUUCGUG
This 492-nucleotide ribosomal RNA is filed under the name uncultured bacterium. RNAcentral's name for it is "partial 16S ribosomal RNA". It matches the Rfam family "Bacterial small subunit ribosomal RNA", at positions 29 to 507 of the family's 1533-position model. The record is from RNAcentral.